GGGCUAAUAGUUUAUUAAAAAUAAAUUAUUGCAAGUAAUUAGAUGACUGUGUCUUAGCCUU
RNAcentral lists this transfer RNA (61 nucleotides) under Proales similis. RNAcentral's name for it is "tRNA-Cys". The record is from RNAcentral. Lineage: Eukaryota; Metazoa; Rotifera; Eurotatoria; Ploima; Proalidae.